Rhea pennata is the source of this 3519-nucleotide RNA transcript. It is a transcript of the gene named HMG-box transcription factor 1, with no coding region annotated. The record is from RefSeq and is a predicted model, not a curated record. The transcript has 13 exons. NCBI's taxonomy places the organism in Eukaryota, Metazoa, Chordata, Aves, Rheiformes, Rheidae.
UGUAAGAGACCUAGUGACAAAAGAUUGAGGACAUCCUCCUUGCUUUGGUCUUUACUUGCAAGGCCUGUGCUUGGAUGUCUAAAGUCCCUGAACAUGGUGGCAGAGUUGGAAGGAGUAAAGUAUUUCUCUAGCUGUGGUAGUGGAUGAUCAAGUUAGGGACACAGACGAGUCCGGAGGACUGGCUGGGAUGUGUCUGCGGGAGCUGGCUGAUGUCAUUUCAGAUACUUUGGAACAUCCUAACAUGGUGUGGGAAGUGAAGACAAAUCAAAUGCCUAAUGCUGUUCAGAAACUCCUUUUGGUAGUGGACAAGAGAACUUCAGGGAUGAAUGAGUCACUGGAGUUGCUGAAAUGUAAUGAAAACCUGCCAUCUUCUCCUGGAUAUGCAUCCUGUGAUGAGCACAUGGAACUUGAUGAUCUUCCUGAACUACAGGCUGUGCAGACAGAUUCUACUCCACCUGCACUUUUUCAGCUUAAUGCAGAUGUUUCACAUCAAGAAUGUUCAAGGCCUUCAUGGAACCAACAUACCUCAAACAGCAAUUCAGAAAGUGUUUAUUCGUGUGAGAAUGGGGUGAACUGGUUGACAGAAUUGGCAAAUAUAGCCACAAGUCCUCAGAGUCCUUUGAUGCAGUGCUCUUUUUAUAACAGAUCAUCUCCUGUUCACAUAAUCGCCACAAGCAAAAGUUUACAUUCCUAUGCACGUCCUCCACCAGGAUCCUCAAAGAAUGAUCCUAAUUUCUCCAAGAAUGAUUUGGAUGAAACACCAGUUAGACAUGAAAGGGCUAACAGUGAAUCAGAAUCUGGCAUUUUCUGCAUGUCAUCACUUUCAGAUGAUGAUGAUUUAGGAUGGUGCCAUUCUUGGCCGUCAACUGUUUGGCACUGUUUUUUAAAAGGCUCACGUUUAUGUUUUCAUAAAGGACGCAAUAAAGAAUGGCAGGACGUUGAAGAUUUUGCAAGAUCUGAAAGCCAUGGAAAUGAGGAAAAUCUCCCAGUGGGUGCUUACAAGGGCUAUGGUUCUGAUGGUUUGAAGUUGAUAUCUCAUGAAGAAAGCGUUUCCUUUGGUGAGUCAGUGCUGAAGCUGACUUUUGAUCCUGGCACAGUGGAAGAUGGCUUGCUUACUGUAGAGUGCAGACUUGAUCAUCCUUUCUAUGUUAAAAACAAAGGUUGGUCAUCUUUUUAUCCAAGCUUGACUGUGGUACAGCAUGGCAUUCCAUGCUGUGAAAUGCAUCUUGGAGAUCUGUGUCUACCUCCUGGACACCCUGAUGCCAUUAACUUUGAUGAUUCAGGUGUUUUUGAUACAUUUAAAAGUUAUGAUUUUACACCAAUGGAUUCCUCUGCAGUUUAUGUGCUAAGCAGCAUGGCUCGCCAGCGUCGCGCUUCUCUGUCUUGUGGAGGAUCGAACAAUCAGGAUGCUGAGAGAUCAGAAUGCAGUAAAAACUGUGCAUCUACAGCAUCAUCACAUCUUUCCUCCAAUUCUUUGUACAACAAAGCUGGCAAAAGCCACAGCUCAGGGACUGCAAGUACUGUGAGUGCCACUUCUCCAAACAAGUGCAAAAGACCAAUGAAUGCCUUCAUGCUUUUUGCCAAAAAAUACAGAGUUGAAUACACUCAGAUGUAUCCAGGGAAAGACAACAGAGCCAUAAGUGUGAUACUUGGUGACAGGUGGAAGAAAAUGAAAAAUGAAGAAAGACGGAUGUACACGCUAGAAGCCAAGGCCUUGGCAGAAGAACAGAAACGUUUAAAUCCUGACUGUUGGAAACGAAAAAGAACAAAUUCUGGCUCACAACAGCAUUAAGCUAGAAUUUUCGUGUUAACUCUGUAUUUACAAAAUGGCUUUUGCUUGAUGGCAAGAAGAUGCAAGAUCAAGGUCUUACUAUUUGUUGUGAAUUUCUGUGACCAUCAUUGGCACCAUCAAGUCGGAAGUGAUUAAAUAUGAGUGCAGAUUUGCUUUUUACAAUAGAACAUUAAGUAAGCUAAAACUAUCAACAUGUUAAACCAAAUUGCCUUAUUUCUCUUCCAAACUUCAUAUAUGUUAUCAGACUUUGCCUUAGAUGAUUUUAACGUGCCUCUAUGGAAGGAAGCGGGGAAGAAAGAGCUACAUAAUUGUUUCAUGAUCUCGCUUUCCUUUCUUGCAUGUUUUGAGGAGUGAACAAGUUAACAUUUAAAUAAUCAGCAGCAGCACGUUGCAGAUGGCUUGAAAUGACAGCUCUGACGCACAAACUCAGGCACGUUGCUGUACUGGUAACCUUUAGAAAUGAAAAGAAUAGACUCCAGCUGCUGCAGACACUGAGAGUACAACUUGCAAAAAGAAAACUGGGGCACUGGUGAACAACUGAGAUGCCUUUAGGUGAUUUCCUGGUCAAGUCUUUUGAACUACUGUUCUUUGGAAAUACUGUUCUGUACCAUGAGACAUUGUAUAUGUGUGUUUGUACAUCUCUGCUGUGUUCUUCUGACACAUUGUCGUAGGAUCGCAUACACAAAUACAAUGAGGGGCACAUGCAGAGCCCCAAAGGAGCUGACCGAGCAGCAGGUGAGAGGUGGGGACGGGGAGGCUCACGGAUCACAUCAAAGCAAACAGAGACACUUCAUGAGAGUCAGAUUUUUCCAUGGAUAGAGGAAGGAGUCAUUAAACACAUUAAUUUUAAUUACCUUCUGCAAAAGAUAGUCCCUUAUAUUAAAAUACAGCUGAGAAAUGCCUGUGACAAUUUUCUUCACUAUAAUCGACACCCCUUCCGCUCACCAGUCUCCCUGUCUUUUCCUCCAUACACUCCCCAGACUUGGUUGGUCACAAAUACACUUUGCAUGAAAAGGAAAAAAUAAAAAGUACUUUUGUUUUUUACCCUAAAAGCAGCUCCCAAGACCAGUCAGUGCCAACGGUAAUCCUGAGGCAGGUUAUCCCCAUCGGACCAAACAAGGGACUAAAGUGCUCUUUGCCAUCAGGCUUUACUCAGUGCUAAGAACCACCUGGGCUGACACUAUUAGAGUCCUGCUGUCCCACCAUUUCAGAAGAAUCUGAUUUAACUGGCAAAAUCCCCUCCAUCGUUGGCAGCUGCCAUGACCACAGGACUCCAAAAGCAGCUGAAAGGAGCUCCGUGAAUUGUUUCGUGGUGGUUGCUCAGGCCUCAGAAUCGCCAUCAGACCAUUUGGUGGCACUACUCCUUCCCCAGCAAAGUGACCCAUGGUGACAGAAGCUGAUCCUUCUCAAAUGUCUUCUGCUGUGCUUUCUCUUUUACUGUGGCCUUGCUCCCUUCAUUUUGAAGAGACAUAAUCAAAAACGCCAUCAACAUCACCAGUCUGUGAAUGUCUUUUAGCUAAAUCUUUCUUUUCCCCUCAGAAGACAACCAGUAGUUACUACUCCACUAACGCUACUAUGAGAAUUCUCAUUUUCCUAAAACAGACCAUAUACAGUUCCACAUUAAAUAACUAAGACAAAAGCCUUCUCAGUAGUCUAAGACUAAAUACAUUCACUAUUUCUCCAUGUUUGCAUCUUCAAUAAAAGUAUUUAAAUAUUAAAUAAAAGUA